UCUGUACCGUUACGAAUGCUCAAAAAAAAAAAAAAAUCAAUAGCGGAUUCCGAUAAACUAGAGAGCGGAGGAGCCGCCGUAAUCGAGAUGACGGCGGCAAGGCGGUGGAAGAGAGCGAUAAUUGGAAGGAAUGUCACUGUGUUGGAUUUCGAGCUGCUUUGCCAACGGUAACGCUUCACAGACUCAGGGGAAAUGGAGGAAACUCGAGAGAACAACGAUGGAGAAUAAGGCGGCGAUGUUAUGCAAUGCCUCGCGGAUCGUCAUCUCUGCAUAGAAUCCGCUUGGUACCAUCUUUCAUUCGAAUACCAAUUCAGUACAAUGGAUCUCUGAAUUGUCUGCUUACCUCUGUUCUUGAGUUUGUAAAUCAUUGAAAGAUGCUUGACUUUUUCUAUGUAUCUGACAUCUUGCUUGCGUACUAUUGAUUGCAUCCUAACUCGGUUUCUUGCCUAUGCGGAUAAGAAGGAAGUUUAACAUUAUAGCUUGCUUGUGGUAGUUUCUUUGAUGAUUGCAUCCAAAAUUUCAUCCGUCCAUUCUGUACAUUAACUCAGGAGUCUGUAUCUGGCAUGGUCGAGGAGACGCACAAUGUCCCAAUGACCCUUUCUUGAGCUGCAUUCGCCUCCCUUUAUUGCAUUCGCCUCCAAAAUAAUAAAUUUAUGGUUCCACCAUAGCUACUAGACCUGGUGAAGCCUAAAGGAUCAUCUUUAUUCUUAUUUUUACAUUUUAGCUGAAGAAACAAAUGGCAAUCGAUAUGUUGAUCUUGGACGGACAAUCAAAUGUAUAUGUGCCAAAUGAAUCUUUUAUAUUCAGACAUAUAUAAACAAA
This is a long non-coding RNA of Raphanus sativus (radish), 822 nucleotides long. RefSeq lists it as uncharacterized. Lineage: Eukaryota; Viridiplantae; Streptophyta; Magnoliopsida; Brassicales; Brassicaceae. The record is from RefSeq and is a predicted model, not a curated record. The transcript is spliced from 3 exons.